This 467-nucleotide ribosomal RNA is filed under the name uncultured bacterium. RNAcentral's name for it is "bacterial SSU rRNA". It matches the Rfam family "Bacterial small subunit ribosomal RNA", at positions 329 to 794 of the family's 1533-position model. The record is from RNAcentral.
UUCCAGACUCCUACGGGAGGCAGCAGUGAGGAAUAUUGGUCAAUGGCCGAGAGGCUGAACCAGCCAAGUCGCGUGAGGGAAGAAUGUCCUAAGGAUUGUAAACCUCUUUUGUCGGGGAGCAAAAAGGCUCUGCGGAGUCGUAUUGAGAGUACCCGAAGAAAAAGCAUCGGCUAACUCCGUGCCAGCAGCCGCGGUAAUACGGAGGAUGCGGGCGUUAUCCGGAUUUAUUGGGUUUAAAGGGUGCGUAGGCGGAAUGCCAAGUCAGCGGUAAAAUCGCGGGGCUCAACCUCGCUCCGCCGUUGAAACUGGCGUUCUUGAGUGGGCGAGAAGUAUGCGGAAUGCGUGGUGUAGCGGUGAAAUGCAUAGAUAUCACGCAGAACUCCGAUUGCGAAGGCAGCAUACCGGCGCCCAACUGACGCUGAAGCACGAAAGCGUGGGUAUCGAACAGGAUUAGAUACCCGGGUACU